RNAcentral lists this ribosomal RNA (562 nucleotides) under Salmonella enterica subsp. enterica serovar Typhimurium. RNAcentral's name for it is "partial 23S ribosomal RNA". It matches the Rfam family "Bacterial large subunit ribosomal RNA", at positions 1918 to 2479 of the family's 2925-position model. The record is from RNAcentral. Lineage: Bacteria; Pseudomonadati; Pseudomonadota; Gammaproteobacteria; Enterobacterales; Enterobacteriaceae.
CCCCGGUAAACGGCGGCCGUAACUAUAACGGUCCUAAGGUAGCGAAAUUCCUUGUCGGGUAAGUUCCGACCUGCACGAAUGGCGUAAUGAUGGCCAGGCUGUCUCCACCCGAGACUCAGUGAAAUUGAACUCGCUGUGAAGAUGCAGUGUACCCGCGGCAAGACGGAAAGACCCCGUGAACCUUUACUAUAGCUUGACACUGAACAUUGAGCCUUGAUGUGUAGGAUAGGUGGGAGGCUUUGAAGUGUGGACGCCAGUCUGCAUGGAGCCGACCUUGAAAUACCACCCUUUAAUGUUUGAUGUUCUAACGUGGACCCGUAAUCCGGGUUGCGGACAGUGUCUGGUGGGUAGUUUGACUGGGGCGGUCUCCUCCUAAAGAGUAACGGAGGAGCACGAAGGUUGGCUAAUCCUGGUCGGACAUCAGGAGGUUAGUGCAAUGGCAUAAGCCAGCUUGACUGCGAGCGUGACGGCGCGAGCAGGUGCGAAAGCAGGUCAUAGUGAUCCGGUGGUUCUGAAUGGAAGGGCCAUCGCUCAACGGAUAAAAGGUACUCCGGGGAUAACA